This 416-nucleotide ribosomal RNA is filed under the name uncultured bacterium. RNAcentral describes it as "bacterial SSU rRNA". It matches the Rfam family "Bacterial small subunit ribosomal RNA", at positions 40 to 502 of the family's 1533-position model. The record is from RNAcentral.
CGGCACGCCUAACACAUGCAAGUCGAACGCAGUAGCAAUACUGAGUGGCAAACGGGUGAGUAUAAUGUAGGAAUCUGCCUUUUGGUUUGGAAUAACACGGGGAAACUUGUGCUAAUACCGAAUAAGCCUUCACAGGGAAAGUUUUAACGCCGAAAGAUGAGCCUGCACUUGAUUAGCUAGUUGGUAAGGUAAAAGCUUACCAAGGCAACGAUCAAUAGCUGUUCUUAGAGGAAGACCAGCCACAUUGGGACUGAGACACGGCCCAGACUCCUACGGGAGGCAGCAGUGGGGAAUCUUGCACAAUGGGGGAAACCCUGAUGCAGCGAUGCCGCGUGAGUGAAGAAGGCCUUUGGGUUGUAAAACUCUUUCGUCGGGGAAGAAAAUGACUGUACCCGAAUAAGAAGGUCCGGCUAACU